RNAcentral lists this ribosomal RNA (292 nucleotides) under uncultured bacterium. RNAcentral's name for it is "partial 16S ribosomal RNA". The record is from RNAcentral.
GGACUACCCGGGUAUCUAAUCCUGUUUGCUCCCCACGCUUUCGCGCCUCAGCGUCAGUAUCGGACCAGGUCGCCGCCUUCGCCACCGGUGUUCUUCCCAAUAUCUACGAAUUUCACCUCUACACUGGGAAUUCCACGACCCUCUUCCGAACUCAAGCACACAUGUAUCAAGCGCAGCCCCCAGGUUGAGCCCAGGAAUUUCACGCCUGACUGUGCAUGCCGCCUACGCGCCCUUUACGCCCAGUCAAUCCGAGUAACGCUAGCCCCCUUCGUAUUACCGCGGCUGCUGGCAC